GCAACGAGCGCAACCCCUGCAUUCAGUUGCCAUCGGGUAAUGCCGGGCACUCUGGAAGGACUGCCAUCGACAAGAUGGAGGAAGGUGGGGAUGACGGUCAAGUCAUCAUGGCCCUUAUGUCCAGGGCGACACACGUGCUACAAUGGCCGGCACAACGGGAAGCGAGUUCGCGAGGACGAGCGGAUCCCUCAAAGCCGGUCGCAGUUCGGAUUGAAGUCCGCAACUCGACUUCAUGAAGCUGGAAUCGCUAGUAAUCGUGGAUCAGCCAAGCCGCGGUGAAUACGUUCCCGGGCCUU
RNAcentral lists this ribosomal RNA (296 nucleotides) under uncultured Synergistaceae bacterium. RNAcentral's name for it is "partial 16S ribosomal RNA". It matches the Rfam family "Bacterial small subunit ribosomal RNA", at positions 1089 to 1382 of the family's 1533-position model. The record is from RNAcentral. Lineage: Bacteria; Thermotogati; Synergistota; Synergistia; Synergistales; Synergistaceae.